Molecule: non-coding RNA, 91 nt
Organism: Acanthosepion pharaonis
Lineage: Eukaryota; Metazoa; Mollusca; Cephalopoda; Sepiida; Sepiidae
Source: the annotation of a GenBank genome assembly
CGUUGAAACACCAGUUCGUGUACGAUCACCGAAGUUAAGCAUCGUCGAACCUGGUCAGUACCUAGAUGGGUGACGGUUGGGGAAUAUUAAC